UUAAGUUCAGCGGGUAGUCCUACCUGAUUUGAGGUCAAAUUCAUCAAAAUGUGGGAGGAGUUUUCCUCUCACUUGUUGGAAGCAGUGUAAUCUGUUCAUGCAGCAUACCAAGGUAUAGAUAAUUAUCACACCUGUAGUAGUUUCCUCUGCUCAGAUACUGCUAAUGAAUUUCAGGGGAGCAGACCUCAAGAAAGCCUGCA
This 200-nucleotide unclassified non-coding RNA is filed under the name Inocybe sp. Its description in RNAcentral is "partial internal transcribed spacer 2". Lineage: Eukaryota; Fungi; Basidiomycota; Agaricomycetes; Agaricales; Inocybaceae. The record is from RNAcentral.